Molecule: ribosomal RNA, 653 nt
Filed under: Bifidobacterium bifidum
Lineage: Bacteria; Bacillati; Actinomycetota; Actinomycetes; Bifidobacteriales; Bifidobacteriaceae
Description: bacterial SSU rRNA
Rfam family: Bacterial small subunit ribosomal RNA
Source: RNAcentral
CGGGAUCCAUCGGGCUUUGCUUGGUGGUGAGAGUGGCGAACGGGUGAGUAAUGCGUGACCGACCUGCCCCAUGCUCCGGAAUAGCUCCUGGAAACGGGUGGUAAUGCCGGAUGUUCCACAUGAUCGCAUGUGAUUGUGGGAAAGAUUCUAUCGGCGUGGGAUGGGGUCGCGUCCUAUCAGCUUGUUGGUGAGGUAACGGCUCACCAAGGCUUCGACGGGUAGCCGGCCUGAGAGGGCGACCGGCCACAUUGGGACUGAGAUACGGCCCAGACUCCUACGGGAGGCAGCAGUGGGGAAUAUUGCACAAUGGGCGCAAGCCUGAUGCAGCGACGCCGCGUGAGGGAUGGAGGCCUUCGGGUUGUAAACCUCUUUUGUUUGGGAGCAAGCCUUCGGGUGAGUGUACCUUUCGAAUAAGCGCCGGCUAACUACGUGCCAGCAGCCGCGGUAAUACGUAGGGCGCAAGCGUUAUCCGGAUUUAUUGGGCGUAAAGGGCUCGUAGGCGGCUCGUCGCGUCCGGUGUGAAAGUCCAUCGCUUAACGGUGGAUCUGCGCCGGGUACGGGCGGGCUGGAGUGCGGUAGGGGAGACUGGAAUUCCCGGUGUAACGGUGGAAUGUGUAGAUAUCGGGAAGAACACCGAUGGCGAAGGCAGGUCU